UUUUAUCAAGAAGUGAUAGUGAAGUUAGCAGUGCAGCAUUUGCAGGAAGUAGACACAGUGGCAUAGGAAACAUUUUUUAAUUAUCUGCAUCAACAAAAAAUGUAGGCUAAUGGAUAUUUUUGGAUGUGAAAUAUUGGUGCUAGCUAUAUCAUUGCUGAGAAAAGGGAUAUAUCUGACCAAGUUAGUCAGGUGAGCCCGGUAGUGAAACACAAGUGUUAGUGUAGUUCUAGAACGUUAAUGACAUUUGGUGACUCAUCAUUCUGUAUUCUCAGGCCCCUCUGGCAAAAUGGGCUCCCACCCCCAUUUCCUGGUGGGGUUGUGCCUCCUCUGCUCUCCCGGCCUGCUCACACGUGUGAUAGCCGGUCUGUAGAGAACCACCCCAUGCAGCACAAACUCUGUAGUAUUUAAAUUCACCAUGAUGCGAGCAGGUUUUUACAGGUUUUGUUGGUUAUUUUCAAGGACACUGUCGUGGAGUGUGGGUCCACAACUAUGCCAUGUCUAAGGCAGGCCAUAAAGAGGCAAUAGUGGUGACUCCCUCAUAAAACAGGAUAUUACUUCACAAGUCCUGAUAGUUUUUACUCUUAACUGGUUCACUGUGGGGAAUCCAUGUUUGAAAUUAUUUGUUGAGUAUUAUGGUAUUAUGUAAAAUGUUGUAUUGAUAUGUUCUCCCCACAAAAUGUGUGGCUGCUGUUGAUGUCACCAGUGCUUAUAUAAUGUGGAGCGUAUUAAGUUGCUUCUGUCAUGCAUACGUUUUUCCUGACUUGUUUUGCAUUGGCGUCAGUCUUUGCAUAGGCCACAGUGCAUCCUAGUGUCACAUUUGCACACGGCAGAUUAUUACACCUGCCCCUUCUACUAAAUUACGAUUCCUGUAGUGUAGGCCUACUAAAAACUAUAUCUCAGGUUGGUGUUAUGGGCAAAUAUAUUAGUCUUUUUUUAUGCUGAUGAAGUGGCAAUGCCACUUGUAUAUCAGUAAGGGCUUUGAAAAAUGUUGGUGAAGUUUGUGCAGUUCUUAUUUAGUGUGUAUCUUUAUCACACACAGUCCCUUCAGAUAGUAGUCACACCCCUAGACUUUUUACACAUGUUAGACUGAAUUUAAAAUAGCUGAAAUUGAGAUUCACUGGCCUAUAGACAAUACCCUAUGUCAAAGUGGAAUUAUGUUUACAAAUUAAUUAAAAAUGAAAAGCUGAAGUGUCUUGUGUCAAGUAUUCUACCCCUUUAUGGGAAGCCUCUAAGUUCAGGAGUAAAAAUGUGCUUAAGUUUCAUGGACUCACUCCGUGUGCGAUAAGUGUUAAACUUUUUUCUUUUGAAUGACUACCUCAUCUCUACCCCACGCACAAUUAUAUGUAAGUUCCCUCAGUCGAGUAGUGAAUUUUAAACACUGAUUCAACCACAAAGACCAGGGAGGUUUUUACAAUGCAUCACAAAGAAGGGCAGCUAUUGGUAGAUGGGUUAUAAAAAUAAAUAAAAACAGACAUUGAAUAUCCCUUUGAGCAUGGUGACAUUAUUAAUUACACUUGGUAUCGAUACACCCAGUCACUACAAAGAUAAUGUCCCUCCUAACGUAGUUGCCAGAGAGGAAGAAAACUGCUCAGGGUAUUCACCAUGAGGCCAAUGGUAAAUUAAAAACCUUUAGUUUAAUGGCUGUGAUGGAAGAAAUCGGAGGAUGGAUCAACAACAUUGUUUUUCAACAAUACUAACCUAAUUGACAGUGAAAAGAAACCCUGUACGGAAUAAACAUGUUCCUAAACAUUCAUCCUGUUUGAAAUUGCGGCAAAUAAAUUAAUUUAAUGUCCGGAAUACAAAACGCUAUGUUAGGGGCAAAUCAACAGUCUUGAGUACCACUUCAUAUUUUCAAGCAUGGUGGUGGUUGUAUCAUGUUAUGGUGAAACUUAAUCCUAGAGGGAAAACCUGGUUCAGUUUCUGGUGGAAAGCAGAUGCAUUCACCUUUCAACAGGACAAUAACCUAAAACGUGGCCAAAUAAACACUUGAUUUGGUUAUCAAUAAGAUGGUGAAUGUUCCUGAGUGGCCAAGUUACAGUUUUGAAUUACACAUAUUUUAAAAUCUAAGGCAGAACCUGAAAAUGGUUGUCUAGUGAUGAUCAACAACCAAUUUGACAGCUUGAAUAAUUUUUUUGUUUAAGAAUAAUGGGCUAAUGUUGCACAACUCAAACUCACAGCUGUAGUCGCUGCCAAAGGUGCUUCUGAAAAGUAUUCACUUGGGUGUGUAUUUCAUUUUCAAUAAAUGUGCAAACAUUUCUAAAAACACGUUUUCACUUUGUCAUUAUGGGGUAUUGUGUGUGUGUGUAGAUGGGCGAGGAGAAAACAUUGAAUACAUUUUUGAAUACAUUUUGAAUUCAGACUAACACAAAAUGUAGAAUAAGUCAAGGGGUAUGAAUACUUUCUGAAGGCUGUCUUGUGUGUGGGGAUAUAGUACUGUGCAGUGCAAAACCUUUUAUAUCCCAGUAAAUAUUGCUCAGUCUGUAUGGACAACAUAAUGUGUUGUGACUAACGCUGUAAUUCUAUGGCUUUACUGUGUAGACACCUUAUGGUGGUUGUAUGGAUGUGCUAGACUGCUGAUAUGUCUAAAUGCAGUAUUUAAUGUAUUAGUGAUGCCGAUAACAUCACUCAUGACAUUUUAACUAAUGCUGUCUGGUUGCACCAUUUUUAAAUCCUCCACAAUAAGUUUGACUCCAUCCUAUUGAAACACAUGGUGUAUUUUACAUGUCAAUUCAGGCUUGCCUUAAGGGAAGAUACUGGUAAACAUGGCUGCCCCACUUACUUAAAAUACUCAUACUUACAGAAUAUUAUGUAGUAACAUUUGAAAAUAUGGUUGUCCUUUCUAGCUUCAGCCUUCCAGUUCGGCUUUUCACUUUUCUUUUUUACACUGGUUGUAGUCAAAUGGUUACAAGCGGUCCUUGAGCUUAAUUGUGUAAAAAUAUAUCAUUCAUAUUGUUUGUGUAUGGGUGCCAGUCCACACAACUGUAAGAUGACUAUGGGAUAUAGUCACUCUCUUUAGGCCACAUCAAAUGAAAUGGAGUAUCUUAUCAGUCAGUCAACCGCGUGGGGGAGAUGUGAGAAUGUAACCGUAGUGGCACUCUGCUGGGCCUCUCUUCCGCUGGGUUUGGGGAUGUUUCAUGAUGUCCCCACUCCACCGGCCCCCAGCAUCACAAAGUGGCAUAGCCCUCUUUACACGUCACGAACGGGAACUGUGGAUAAAUUUAAAAAAAAAAAUGUAUCAAUGUGUCUAACAUUGUAGUUAUAUUUUGGGGCCCUAUGCUAAACCUAGCUUGUGGGAUGGGGAGGGAGAGACUGUCAUAGGACUCAAAUGUGGGAAUGCAUCGCAGAACAGUUUAACUGUAAGUUGGGGUUUGUGUGUGAGUUUAGACACUUGUCAGAAUGGAGAGUUUUGGCCCAAGCAUGUUGAUGGGGUGCACUGUGUACGUGUGAGAGUGCUUUGGAUACACUGGGGGUGUGUCUCUUAAAUCCACACACCCCUCUUUUCCUCUUUCUCUCACACACCCCUCUUCCUCUUUCUCUCACACACUGAGCUUGGAUCCUAAUCUCCCUCACUGCUAGUUCUCUGGCCUGCUCCUCUCAUGGAGAGAUGACUCAUGUUGAUUACUAAUGCGACAGGCGUUGGUUUGGUGUCAGUGUUUAUGGCCGGGUGAGGGUUGUUUCUGUCAUUUCUCUGUGGGUCCAGUGCCGAGGAGGCGUCGGUCAGGACGUAGCUCUGAAAUGGCCGGCGUCACACUGCUUCUGCUUUGUCUACUUCCUGUUGAUGGCUUUUCUGGCCCUGCAGUGGGGAGAUAGAGCGGCUCUAUUGAAGUGACGCAUGCUGUUCAUGGGAAUAGUUGUAUGGGAAGCCCUCUCCCUAACCUUGGCUGGAUGUCCCCCCCCAGUUUACUAUACAUGCAUCUGGACCGUGCUGUGUUGGAGUGAGAAGGGCCCUACUGUAACAGACCCGCCUGACUGUGAAUGGGGAGAUAGAUUGGUGCUCGGAGGUCACUCGCAAGUCUCCAUUAGUGGAGUCGCGUGAAAUUAACAAACUGUAGGCUUGGUUUGUGUGUACCUUCUCUGACAUUGGUGUUGUGCAGAGGGAACCCCAGUCAGUCAGUUAGCUCUGCGGUCACUCUGCCUGCCUUGUGCUCUACUGGGCAUGUGUUGUGUUGUGUUGGACAAGUGGGAACGGACUGCUGGAGUUUUUGCAGGAUUAACACCCACAACUGCAUGACCGGUGUUUCUAUGGCUCAGAAGGGUUCCUAUUUAUAGAUGUCAGGCCUGGUGUAAAUUACUAUAAACAAUAAACUGAACCUCUACCUCCCUGCCUGCACACACCCCUGUCCAAAACAGUUACCUCUGGCUAGUUACUCACCACAUUAAACUCUACUAUUUUAGGGUGAAAUGAACUCUCUAAAAUACAUGAAUACACCCAAACCAAGUGUGGAAUGGUCAGCUUUAAGUCCCUAACCAUUCUUGAUGAAUGCUGAUAAUUGUGAUUUUGGUUUAAUGUGACUGGAUUUUGGUAGUUGGGUUCUGUUAAUAGUGAUUAUAUUCUGUUCAAUUUAUUAUAAUGAUUUUAUGAAAAAUGCAGUGUCGUGUGUGGGAGAGGGAUAGUAAGAAAUGUGUUUGUAGGUUGUGUGUCAUUGAAGUAUAAUUCAAAUGUAGGCCUAUAUUAUAUUUUAGAAAGUGAUAGUUUGACUUUUUAAAGAUAGCAUUCUUAGAUAAUGGACAAGAACAUGCCUCCAUACACAAGUACCCAGUUCUUCCAACUUCAGUCUAGUUACAUCAUGUAGUUACACCAUGUCAUGGUGUAACUAGACUAAAGUUGGAAGUACAUCUGUGUUAUUGUGUAUGGAGGGAUGUUCUUGAAAAUAAAGCCAUAGCUAAGGAAAUUGCCCUAUUAUGUUGAGUUUGACUUUAACUAUAUUAUUUAUUUAUUUUAUCUAGUGUGCCAUUUUAGAUGUAUGUGAAGUUGCAUGGGACUGCUUUCAAAACUAAAAUCCUUUCCCAGAAUGUAAUAUCAGGCAUGUAUAACUUGUUCAGUUAUUUGAAAUGUAUUUGCAUGUUUGGUACUAGUUGCUGUCUAAACUGAAUUAUGAUGUAACUGCUUUUUAUACUCAACAGCAUUGUGCAUACAAUCCUCAUAACCUACUUAAAAUAAUCAAAGAAAUUAUAACUUUUCCCUCAACUGAAGUCUGGAUGUAUCAACUCUUAUCAAAUUAAUUAUUUAAAUGAUAAUCAUUCUCCUAUUGAAUAACAAUAAAGCAACAUUUUAACAUUUACAUAAAACAAUUGUCAGUAUAGUGUAGAAACUUCUUAGAAAUGUACCAUAUAGCCUACACAACAUACACACAUAGCAGAACAGACUUGUGUUACAAGUGAGGCUAAACUAAAUUUGCUCUUGACAAGAGAAGGGUUUGUGAUGGGGGGGUCUAGAGCGUCCUGCCCCUGUGGAAAGGGGUCACUCGACCUUUGCCCCCAGAGUCAGGUCACUCUGAGUUGCUUAUUCAGGGUGCGAGCCAUAGGAACUGGUUAAAAGGCUGAGGAACAGAGGCGACAAUGGGAGAGAGCAGGGAAAGGUUAAAGCCAUAAUGGUGUGUGUGGAUAUUGGGUUGUAGUGACAACUGGUCAAGGCUCCUCUUGGCCCACUGAUGCAGUCUGAGGCCUCAUUCAAUAACCUGGUUUGAGUUAAUUUAUGAUUUUUCAUGAAGGUAAAGCGGGAGCGAGAGAGACCCAGAGAGGGAAUGUCUCAAGGAGUGGGAGUGGUGUGUGGAGUGCACAAGUGUAUUAUUUUUCUUUCUUUAGAUCAAAUCGGGUUAGAUUUAUUUUCAAUCAGCCGGGAGAGUGGGAAUGCAAUUUAAUUAGAAAAAUAUGACAUGCCUGAUGUGAAAUGUAAUCAACUGAAAUGAAGUAAGUCUGUAUACUGUAGUUGCUGGUAUGUAAAGUGGUACAGUUUAAUUAUUUAUUACGAUGUACAUGAGUCUGAAGCAUUAAUAUUAUUCAGGCAAUAAUUAACACUUCUCGUGUUUGUAUUUACAUAGUGACCAGAAUACACCUUUGCUAACGCAGAUUUUCAUUUUUAAUUAGUGUUCUAGAUAAACCACUAAAACUUGGACCUUAACUAGAAAUAUUUCUUGUCAGCGUCAUGAAAUAUAGGCCAGUUGCAAUUGAGGCCCCCAUUUCAAAACCUCUUUUAAAAAGGGGACAUAUUUAAGUGACCUAUCUAGAAGUCAUUUGUGGUUUGCUUUGCUGCACAUUUAGUUGUCAGUGGCUAUUUAACUAAUUAUCUGAGAGAAUUUGUAUGAGGGAAACGGAAAUCUAUUAAUCAUUAGUUUCCUUGCGUGUCUUUUGACCCACCUUGUCCAAAUUAAUAUUUGUGCCUCAGAGAGGGAGAGUGUAUUUGUAUCCCUCGCUCACACUCUGUCCUGGUUAAGUACUUUCUGUUCUAUGAACACUUAGCAGAACACAAUGGAGCAGGCAUUAUCUUUUGUAACCCAAAAGCACUCCGCCACAGAACACCUGGGAUACUGCCAUCAAUGGUCAACACUAUCCCCUGGUCAUGUAGAUUUUGUGUAUCAUACUUCCCGUGGAGUCUUGUACAGGUGAAAAGGCUUCAAGUUGAGGCUCACUCAAAUCUUAACUGAAAUGGUGAAGAAUAUGAAAUACUGAAAAGAUUGUGUUAGGAGGCCAUAGGACGCAACGAUCUGAAAUUCUAAUAAAUUAAAACACAUCCUAUCAGCUGUUUAGUACAAUUUCACCUUUUGGGGGGGGGGGGGGUAAAUGACUAAAGAUAUUAUUUCUCAUAUGGUGUAACUUGAGUGAAAAUUAAAUCCUGUGAGAAAAUCCUAGGCCAAAUGUCUUUUUAGCUAACUGGCAGUCCUGCUGUUAAUUUAGAAGUUGUAGUGUAAUUAAACUGUAAGAUGCCAAAUGUGUUUGUGUUCACUUCUCUGCUCCCACCCUGUAAUACCAGGGCCCAUCUCUCGACACAGCACUGUUAACGCUGGGUUAUUUCCUUAUACACCCACAGUUGCCCCAGAUGGCGUCAUUGUUUGUUAAUCAUUAUAAACACCCGCUUAGAAUAGAAAAACCACACAUUAUUCUCUCAUUUCUGAUGUGUUUUCCAAAUGCUUUAUUUUAAACUCUGACAAGGUCCAGUUGUAAUUCAUGGUGAUGGACUUCAUAUCCUUGGAUUUUGGAUGCCUCUGUUGUACACACAGAUUUGUGGUCAUUUUUCACACACAACCCAGUCCCCUUCUAAUAAGUUACACCAAUCAUUUAUGAAGAUGCUAUCGCUGGCUGGCCAGGGGGGAGUGGAUCAUCAACUAAUUAAUGGUCUUCCAGACGUCCCUUUUUUUCUGUUGGUGACAUUGAUCAGAGUUGUUGAAUUGUGCCAUAGUGCAUUAGUGAUAUUACCAGAGUGGUUAUCGGACCUGAUCAAAUCAGCGGAAGCAGGCGAUAUUUGGAAACUAGGGUAACCAUAAUUGUGCCUAUGGUGCUAGUUAAUACCACACCAUAACUGGUGUAUCACAUUAUAAACCCUGUUUGUCUGUUUGCUGCUCUACUUUUCAAUAGGUUCCCCUUUGACCAGAUGGAAGUUGAAGGAUGUUUCGUUCAAACAGUCAACCGUAUUUUUUCCCCCAGUAUAAUAAAUGUGACUUAGCAGAGUUUGGGACUAGUCUGUCAAGUGACUUGGACAUUGACAUUGUGAUUAGAGAUUUAUGUCCAUUUGUCAUGCUGUGGUUCAGUCUAAUAGUACUUAUGUUCUACUGAUCUUGGGGGAUAUAGUGAGUUAUGAAUUUUCAUUCUUGAACUGACUGAUUACUUUCAAAAUGGGCAUUUUCUAGAGGUAUAGCAAUUGCCAGAUUUUUAUUGUUGAAUAAUUAAGAUGUACAUGUCUGAGCUGUAAUAUUUGUAAUUUUGGAAACAAAAUGCUGUAUGCAGAUAAAUUAUAUUUACUCUAACCCAAGCCUUGAGGCCAGAUUUAUAAACAUGGCACUAUAGUUUAGCUAAGUAAAACUGGCCUGAUGUGCGAUUUGAAAGUGAAGUGAUUGAAACUGCAUCACCCCUUCAAUGUAGCUGAUUCAGUCUCAACCAGUCAUAAUACACAAACACACGUGAUCUGUUGUAGAAGAGAGAAAAAGUACAACCUCAGUACUUUGCCUUUUUUAUUUAGAUGAUUAUUUACCCACAUUCUCUUCUGUGCUUUUCAGAUGGUUUGAGAGUCCUGGAGUUCCUUUCAGACACUGAUAGGCCAUCUGGAUGCUGCUUUCGGGUGAUUCCUCACAAUUUGAGAAAUUAUUUUAAUUUCUACAAUGUAAUCCAUAUAAUGUUCCUUUGGAGGAAGUAUUGUUGGCAUAUAUUUGACAUUUUGUAUCUAAAAGCAUGUUUGAGAAAUAAUCGAUCGGUGUUGGCCGACCCAGACACCAUAACUGUUGCUCUAUAUGGGGCACAAACAUAAUCUUCAUGUUAUUUAAAACCUCAUUGUGUACUCUAAAAUGAGAAACAUUUACAUAAUUAAAUCUAUUAGGAUUUUGAAAAGUAUGAAAAUUAUACAUUUCUCAUUGUGUUUUAUGGACUGUUUUACUGACACAAGGUAAGAGUGGGAUCUCUGGGACUUUUUUUGUUAUGACCAAAUAUAUGUGGGGUAUGUAGAACUCCAUUCUUCCUAUUGCGAGUACAUUAUACUGUACUCUGGUGUACUGUACUGAACGCUACUCUUCUGUUCUGUACUGGCAAUAGAAUGAAUGGAGUUCUACAUACCCCACAUAUAUUUGGUCAUAACUAACAAACAAAAAAGUCCCAGAGAUCCCACUCUAACCGUCUGUCAGUAAAAUAUGAGAAAUUGAAGUCUCUAUAUUUGUGAUACCUUUCAAAAUAUGAAAUGUACAUUGAAAUCUUGCAUAAUGAAAUGUUUUACUCAUUUUAGUGGACACAAUGAGGUUUCAAAUGAUAAGAUGCCGUUUGUACCCCCAUAUAGAUCAACAGUUAUGGUAUCUUGCAAUGCUCCUGGGUAGGGCUGAAAUGUAAAAUAUGCUAACUUGGAAUAAUUAUUUCUCAAAUAUGCUUCUAAAUACAAAUUUCAAAUAUAUGUCAACAAUACUUCAUCCAAAGGACCAUUUUAUGGAUAAUAUUGUGACAAUCCCCCCAAAAAUCCCUUUUUGUUCUAGUUUCAUGUGGAAUUACUGUUUCUUUCUCCAACGUGUGAGGGGGAGAGAGUGAGCCAGAGGAUGAGGGUAUGCAGGAGAGGGAGUUGGAGAGGAUGUGUGUGUGUAUGCAGGGAGUGAGAGGUGUGUGUGUGUGUGUAAGGGAGAGAAUCAGAUGAUGAGAGAUGGAGCUGGUUGUGGUGGUGCUGUAGCAGCACAGAAUGGUUUGUGGGUUACACAGAGAUGCAGGCCGUACUGUGCUGCCGCAGUAACGCCUGGACAGACAGCAUCUGUGGAACUACCCGGAAAAGAGUGUGGGAGAGUGUGUGUGUGGGAUCCGACUGCCUCAUCACUGGCUGCCUUGCUGUAGCAGCACGUAAAUAUUGGAGUUAAAACUACUGCUGAAGCCUCCAGUAUUGAACGUGCUGCUGAAGCAAAGCUGACCGCUUACCACCGUUAACUUACGGCGAGUCUGCAUGCAUCAGUCCCUCUACUGCGCAUCGCAGGUGAACGGUGCACAGGAGAAGACACCGAAUGGAGAGGGACGCUGUGUCGUCAUCUUUAUGACGGGUACAUAAUUAUUAGGUUAAGCAGUUGUUUUUGUCCAUUAAACUUUUUUUACAUGUAUGUUUUAUUUUAUAGUUAAUUUUUGGGGGGUUAUGUUCAUAUAUUUGUAUAUACAUUAACAUUUUCUUUGCACAUUAAAUCAUGCAAACAAGUAGUAAUUUAAACUGGCCCAUGUUUUUUUGUAUUGAAACGCAUUUCUAUUGCAUUCUCUAAUAAACGUUUUUGAAAUGA
Molecule: long non-coding RNA, 9941 nt
Organism: Oncorhynchus masou masou (cherry salmon)
Lineage: Eukaryota; Metazoa; Chordata; Actinopteri; Salmoniformes; Salmonidae
Exons: 3
Source: RefSeq, a predicted model, not a curated record